Neopsephotus bourkii (Bourke's parrot) is the source of this 327-nucleotide long non-coding RNA. RefSeq lists it as uncharacterized. NCBI's taxonomy places the organism in Eukaryota, Metazoa, Chordata, Aves, Psittaciformes, Psittacidae. The record is from RefSeq and is a predicted model, not a curated record. The transcript has 3 exons.
GGUUGGGGAUACCUCAACUUGGGGGUGCUCUGUCCUCUCCCACCCCCUCUGUUCCCCACAGGGCAGUGGCUGGUGGCAGGUUACUGUGGUGGUGCUGUGCAGGCACCAUGGAUGCUGCUUCUCCAGGAAGAACCCCAUCACUGGCUCACCUCCACCACAAACAGGCAGUGGGGAAUGAAGCUGUUGCAGGAGGAGCUGGACAGGAUGGAGAUGAGCUGCCUGCAAGAGCCAAGCCUGGCGCAGCCCUCAGCCAUGGCAGGGGACCUCCCCAGCACAGCAGGACACACAUCACCCCCCAUGGGGGCUGGAGUUCAAAGCUGAGCUCAC